This 448-nucleotide unclassified non-coding RNA is filed under the name uncultured Pyronemataceae. RNAcentral's name for it is "sequence contains ITS2". The stretch from base 1 to 154 matches the Rfam family "5.8S ribosomal RNA". Lineage: Eukaryota; Fungi; Ascomycota; Pezizomycetes; Pezizales; Pyronemataceae. The record is from RNAcentral.
AACUUUUGGCAACGGAUCUCUUGGUUCUCGCAUCGAUGCAGAACGCAGCGAUAUGCGAUAAGUAGUGUGAAUUGCGGAAUUCCGUGAAUCAUCGAAUCUUUGAACGCACAUUGCGCCUUCUAGUAUUCUGGGAGGCAUGCCUGUUUGAGCGUCAUUAAAACCUACUCAGGUAGUUUACUUGGAAGUGAAGGAAGAAUACUUUUUAAAUAAAGAGUUCUCCUUUGAAAUUGAUUAGCAGAUGGUAUAAAAUCCUGACGUUGCAAGAUUUUUUAUCUUUCGAAGGUGAUUUUAUUAUCUUGCUUCAAAUCCAUUUAUUGGCAUAUAUAUUAUAGUUAUGUUUGUUUUCAAAUAUACUAAAUAUUGUUGACAGUAAAUAAUUUAUUUAUAAGUUGACCUCAAAUCAGGUAGGGAUACCCGCUGAAUUUAAGCAUAUCAAUAAGCGGAGGCU